Molecule: small nucleolar RNA, 103 nt
Organism: Heterocephalus glaber (naked mole-rat)
Lineage: Eukaryota; Metazoa; Chordata; Mammalia; Rodentia; Bathyergidae
Source: Ensembl
AUUAUAAACAAGUUAGGAGCAUGAUGAUUGAGUGGUGAUGCUGCAUGCCUGAGAUGUUCCUCUCUUAAACCUUGUUACAGUGUUAGCACAUUGCCAUCUGUUG